UGUAGUUGUCAGGGGUCAAAUAUGCAGCCUUUAGUAUAUCGUGGUAUUCUAUAAUUAGUUAUGAUAUAAAUAAUAUUCAUUUACGCACCAUAAAUACAGCUGUAUUGGUUCUUUUUGGGUUUUGUAUGCUCUGUUCUGGGAAAAAAUGGUUAAGGAAAUUUGUUUGCUAAUUUUGCUUCUCCAUUGUCAUAACUUUAUUUUUCUUGUUCUUUAUCUCUGAUAUAGCAAAGGAAGAGUCAUUCUCUUACUCUUUUUUAUCAAUAAGCAGUUCCUACUAGUAGCUCGUUUUCCUGGCUCAGAGAAAAAGAAUACAGUGGCAGGAAUAGGAUUGUUCUUGCACAAAAUUCUAUUUGGUUUUUGUCCAUUUGAGAACAAAUAUAUCCUGGAGAAAAUUGAAGAAAUUCGAAGUCAAAGACCAGAAACUCUUGCAGAAACUUCACCUAAUGAUGCGCUUGGUGUAGUCUUUGGUCCCGAGCACCCUGGCCAUGUUCGAGGGUUAGGCUUGGGUGUAGUUCCAACUAUGGCAUUCAAGCAAACAUCAAGGCGAGUUGGUAGUUUCGGUAUGAAUUCAUCUAGUGCUAGCGCUCUACCUCUACAAUGGCAGCAAGAGAUGUCAGGAUAUGAGAUCACAAUUAAGUGCGCUAACAAGCUUAUAUCGAAUGAAUAUCGGGAAUAACCCUGAGGAGUUUGUUCAUUUAUUUCCAACUCCUCCACAGGCACACAAUUUAGGAAACGGCGCUCCGUCACCAAUUAGGCCGAGAAGAUCUUUUGAUGGAAGUAACUAAUGGGGUCCAUCUCAUUCAAAAGCCAAAGUAAUAGGCAUGUGCCUAAGGAAAAUAUUUGGAUGAGAAUUUCUUUGGUUUGAUAGCCAACUUUGUUGAAUU
Molecule: long non-coding RNA, 884 nt
Organism: Nicotiana tabacum (common tobacco)
Lineage: Eukaryota; Viridiplantae; Streptophyta; Magnoliopsida; Solanales; Solanaceae
Source: RefSeq, a predicted model, not a curated record